Molecule: ribosomal RNA, 301 nt
Filed under: uncultured bacterium
Lineage: Bacteria
Description: partial 16S ribosomal RNA
Rfam family: Bacterial small subunit ribosomal RNA
Source: RNAcentral
CAGCAGCCGCGGGAAUACGUAGGUGGCAAGCGUUGUCCGGAAUUAUUGGGCGUAAAGCGCGCGCAGGCGGCUUCCCAAGUCCCUCUUAAAAGUGCGGGGCUUAACCCCGUGAUGGGAAGGAAACUGGGAAGCUGGAGUAUCGGAGAGGAAAGUGGAAUUCCUAGUGUAGCGGUGAAAUGCGUAGAGAUUAGGAAGAACACCGGUGGCGAAGGCGACUUUCUGGACGAAAACUGACGCUGAGGCGCGAAAGCGUGGGGAGCAAACAGGAUUAGAUACCCGCGUAGUCCCUGUCUCUUAUACA